ACAUAAGGUAGUUGAUGUGAAUCUUACAUGCAAUAUUUUGAAUGAGAAAGCUGAAAAGUCAUUCGUCAUCGAACUUUAUACACCCUAGUAAGAAAGUGUGUUACAUUUUUUAAAUUAGACCAAAUCGUGUUCUAAAUUUGAUCUAGUUUGCGUCAACACAUACUUUUCACAGUAGUUUAUUGUGGAAGGUAACAUAUUCAUGCCAUCAUGCUAUUGAAAAUCUUCUGAUUGGGACCAUGAGUAACAAUCAAGGCUUCUCACACCCUAUACAUUGAAGUCCAAAUCCUCUCAUCGACGCAUCAAGGCCACAUAGAAGGUAUUAUAAUAACAAUAUGCAAGUCAGUGAGAAAGCACACAUUUAGUUCUUGUUAGAAAGCAAGCGUAUCAAGUAUUGCUUUUUGUAGCCAAAGAUUGUCCAAGAACUUGUCAAGCUUUGCAAACUUCUUCAAGUCUAUAUACUCUCCAAGGUUGCUGCCGGGAAAGCACCCAAAGUCCAUCCUUUCAAUAUUUCAAAUCAAAUGCCUUGACCUCAGAGGUCGAUUUAGUCAUGAUGCAAUCUCUUUUCUUUGUGAAAGUAGUCAUCAAGUAAUAUUUUCAGGUGGCACUCUCAACUAAACAUUCUAAACUUGGGCUCCCUCUC
Molecule: long non-coding RNA, 640 nt
Filed under: Phoenix dactylifera (date palm)
Lineage: Eukaryota; Viridiplantae; Streptophyta; Magnoliopsida; Arecales; Arecaceae
Description: long non-coding RNA (PDAC_LNC019950)
Source: RNAcentral